CCAAUUUACAUUUUGCGACAUAUGACCAACUUUAGCUCUGCAGAUUAUUUUCUUUAUUUUUUUUCUUUUCUUUCUUUUUUUUUUUUAAGAAAAAUAGUUGAUCUGUUUAUCUAAUAAUAGAUUAUUAUAGAGUUUCUUAAACUUGACCUUACUUCAAAUGCACAGAAAUGGUCGAAUCAUCUAACUGCCAGUGUGGGGCUCUGUUGAUUGCCUGAUUAAGGUGGCCGUCACUGGGGAUCAAGAAAAACAGAUUCUCAAAGACAGGCAGCUACAGAGAUGUCCGCAGGCUUUAGGUGGAAAGACGCAUGCAAGUGGUUUGAUUAUUCUUAUUGAUAAGCACACCUACACCUGUAGAAUGUAAAAACCUCACUCUCUUGUACUGUACACGAGUGUCCCUAUCAGUUCUAUCUGUCUGCAAAGGAAAAUAAUGCAGCCAUCAUUCUUAAACAUUCCUCUUCACCUCAUAAAACAUCAGCUUUUGAUAAAUAUAGGCAGGUUACCAGAGCUCUUAUUUAAAAUUCAGAGCAACGGCAUGUUUUCAAAAGUGAAAGAGGACCGAAUACAGACAGCUGUGGCACUCUCUCCACCCCAUGGUUAGGACAGCAGUUAGUGGGGGACUUCCUGCAUGGAAAGCUGUGUAUGUUUUCCUUCAGCGAAUUGAACAUCCUGCAGAUCUUAAAUUCCAGUCGGCAGUAAACUCCCUGACCUCUGAGCACAAAAUUAGCCACAUCAUAUAAGCAAAAGACAAGAGGGAAAGGAAGGAUUGCAAAACAGAGCAGAAAGAUAUAGUAUAAAGAAAGAUCACAGAGAGAGACUGACGAAUAAUGUAAACUUACACAUUUUACAUUUUUCUUAAUUAUUCAUUGUAUGAAAAGGAAACUAAUAUAGAUCAUUAAUUAUAAUUUGGUUAUAUAAUCUAUGUAACCAAAACAGUUUUUUUCCAAACAGUAUAAUUUUUAAAGGGUUACUCCGCCCCGAAUUAAAUGUUUUGUCAUUAAUCACUUACCCCCGUGUCGUUCCAAACCUGUAAAAGCUUUGUUCGUCUUCAGAACACAAUUUAAGAUACUUUGGAUGAAAACCGGGAGGCUUGUGACUGUCCUAUUAACUGCCAAGUAAAUUACACUGUCAAGGUCCAGAAAAGCAUGAAAACCAUCGUCAGAAUAGUCCAUCUGCCAUAAGUGGUUCAACCAUAACAUUUCUGUAUGCGAAUUUCUGUAUGCGAAUAAAACAAAAAUAAUGACUUUGUUCAACAAAUCGUCUCCUCUGUCUCUCUGUAUCAGCAUAGUGCCAUUUUGGGGAAUAUCCACUGAAUACAGGCAGCGUACACUCCUCUGUGUCAGCUGAGACACAAGAAUAUGUUUUCUGUGUGUAUUUGCACUUCGAUUGGAAAGAAAACAGUUCAUCCGUGCAGCGCGGCUGACACAGAAGAGCGUAUGCUGCCUGCGUUCAGCUCAUAUUCUCCAAAAUGGUGCUAAGGUGAUGCAAAGAGACACAAAGGAGAUGAAUUGUUGAAUAAAGUCAUUAUUUUUGUUUUCUUUAGUUUCUAGUUAACAUUAUGGUUGAACCACUGAUGGCAGAUGGAUUAUUCUGAUGAUGUCUUUCAUACUUUUCUGGACCUUGACAGUGUAAUUUACUUGGCAGUUAAUGGGACAGUCAUAAAAUAUCUUAAAUUGUGUUCCGAAGAUGAACUAAGCUUUUACGGGUUUGGAACGACAUGGGGGCAAGUGAUUAAUGACUAAAUUUUCAUUUUGGGGUGGAGAAACUCUUUAAGCUAGUCAUAGUUUUAUUUUUUGUAAAAUAUGAAAACCAUUUCUAGCUAUUUAUUCCUUUCCUGACCAUAUGCUAUUUUGGAGUUAGGCUAAUUCAGUCAAAUUACAAAAUAUUUUUUGCUUGAAUAAAACCAGUACAUUUAUUGUACAACAUGGAACCCAUUUGUUAGGUUAUGUGUUGACAUUUUUAUAAAUUUAUUUAUUUACUUCAGUAUAACUAAUCACAGGAAAAUAUGGGACAGUGAACAAAACAACCCAUAUAAAUCGAUUUAGUCAUCAUAUUGCAAUGCUCGUAAACAUCAUUUUGUGAGAUGUCAUACAUGUGAGAUCCAUUUGUUUAUUAAGAUGCAUGAAUGCAAUAAAAGGCAUAAUAUUUUACUGUAUUAUAACAUUUUAUUUCCAAUAACACAGUCAUGUAAACAGCCAUGAAAGUGUCAUGGACAGGUUUAUCACUUACAACAUAUGCAGUUAACCCUAUCUGCCUAUCAGUAAACCCUAUCAAUAAACCAUAUAUGUGUUUAUUGAGCUAUUAUCCAUUGACUGAUGAAAUAAACUACUCACCAGUCAACAUAUGUUCCUGAUUUUCUGAAUUUAUUUGAUUUUAAACCAUGUGUUUUCUGUUUUGAAAUGAUUAUAGUGGUUUGCGACAGAACAUUCUCUCCGGAUCACAAACAUUAGAGCUUUGGUGAAACAUAAGAUUUUACAAUAGUAUGUUUUCAGCUUCACGAGCAGUGGUGAAUUAACAUGGAAUCACAUAUACACAUCACAGUAUAUUCAUUGGUUAUAUAUUUAAUGUUUUUGACCCUAUUUCCUAUUGUUCUGAAAUAUCCCCACAUUCCUAGUAUCCCCACAUUCCUAGUAUCUAUCAAAAAAAAAAAAAAAAUAAUAAUAAUAAAAAAAAAAAUAUUAGGGUAAGUGGCAUCUCCUCAUUACUUGGAAGGGCUGGAGUUAUGUUCACAACUCUGUGAGGUUUUUCUGCAUAGCAGCACAGUACGUGUACUAACAUGUAGUUAUAGUGCACUUACAGUGUAUUUAUCUAAGAAAGUCCUGGUAACACAAGGUAACUACAGGGGGUAGGUUUAGGUUUAGGGGUAGGUUCAGGGUUAGUACCUAGUUAUUACAUAGUUAUUGGAAUUGCUAUAAUAAGUACAUAGUAUGUACAUGAGGAACAGGACUGUAAAAUAAAGUGCUACAAUGUAAUGUAUAAUGCAUUCCUCUAUGUGUUUUUUUUUUACUGUAUGGAAUGUAACAUGUUUAUGAUCUGACCAGUGUUGAAGUUUGACUUAUCUGAAUGCCUCUAAAUAAAUUAUUUUGGAGUAUGUGCGUAUGCAUAUUUGUUCCCCUACUGUUUCUCAUUUCCUAUGUUUCCCUUUAUCUGAAAUCAUAUGCUUUAUCUGGAAUAUUAUUGUGUACAGCUCUCAAAGGACGGAGUUGAUUCCCAGAGCAGAUCACAUGACCCUAUCAUGUGCAAUGAAGAUGUUCUUUUUAUGGUUGGUUACUCCACUAUUCCACAUUUGCACACAACAUGAUUUAUUUAUUUAUAUUUUUUGAGUUGCUUUAAAGAUUUGGGGCUGGAAGUUGAGGUUAUAUAUACCAUUAAUCUUUCUAUGUUGUUAUAAUUAUGCGUCCCCCUGUCAUUUCCCUUAUUUUUGUUGGUGCUGACACUUGCCCUGCUUCAGUAAACUGGAAGAGAGGCAUUACACUGCCUAAUCACUGGAACAAUGUGAGUAAAUGUGUGGCCUUCUGAACAAUGUGAUACCACAUGAUGUGGUGGGUGGAAAAGAAAUCUCAAAGCCUAUGCACACUCUCCCUCUGUUGUAUUCUUUCUCAACAUUUUAGUUCUCCUUCAUGUACAAUGUCUGUCAGUGACAUCUUUACUAGCUUUUAGGUGGUGUCAGCUAUAAUCAAGAAACAGUAAACACCACAGACAGUCAACUAUGGCGUGACCUUAAAACACGUCCCAUGCAAUGACCAUUAUAAAUGCUGCGUCUUUCAUCUCUUUCCCGUUAGACUUCGGGCUGCAGGAUUGCAGCUGUGUGGCGGGUGCCACCAGACUGUUCAUGUCUUGCCUUGUGUGGAUGUGCGUGCCUGUGUGUAUGCGAGCAAGCAAUCCCUUGGGGCUCUCUCCCUCAGCCCUGGCUCCCUGAUUCGGCAGAAUGCCAGCGUUUGCUGCUUCCCACCUCCUUCCCGGAGACUCCUGGCCAUAAUAGACGGUAAUGGCCUAAGACAAAUCAACCCGUUUCUUGUAAAAAUAGCAGCAAAUAACCCCUGACUUUGCCUCACGAGUGUAAACCAGGGAGAAGCUCGACUCUGACAGCCACAUUCACAGUGGGCAUUAACCCCAGGAGAAAGCUUACGCUCCACUUGAACAAAGCCAUACCUCUUGAAUACUUACAUCCCCCACUCACAGCUCAGAAUGGAUUGGUAAUGACCGACUGUCUUGCUGUGCAGGUUAUGUGAUGCCUCGGCCAAUCACAGGAGUGAGUGCCCUCCUCGAUGUUUACAACAUCAUCUUACCAAGCAACAGUUUCUGUGCAGUAGUUGAAUAUAUGGAUAAUAUAUUUAAACACCGCAGUUGAGUACCCUAACAAAUAUUACCUAUAAAUGUUGUUGUGAUGUUGCAGGCCUGGGCAGAGGAUAAGAGACUGUGUGGAGCAAAAACAAAACAAAGUGUAAAGUUAGAGCUGAUGGGGAUACUCAGUCAAGUGGUGGUUCCAAAUCUUUAGUUUAGAAAUGUUCUGACUGCAAUAUUUAACAGUAAGGAAUUACAUCUUGAAUGGUCAAUUCAGGUAAGGGUCACUCGAGCAUGACUGGCUUAAUUCAUCUCAUAAACAAGUUACACAUAUUAUAUCACCCCAUUUAGGUUUGAAUAUUUUCAAAUGCAUUACUUUGUUUGCUAUUACAUACUAGAAAUGUAUAACUUUUUGCCUUUUUUAACUAGACACAGUCAAAUGCAAGGUGUAUGCAAGGUACCAAACACAAUUUGAUUGUGUCUAGUUUGAAAAGAUAUAUAUAUAUUUUUGCUAUGAAUACAUUAAUCCAAUUCAUUUGCAUGUUUGCCACAAGACAUACUAAUUCAGGUUCGCGUUCUUAGUCUCUUCUCAGAAUUAUUAACUGUCCCUCCACUGAAAGCACACAUUUAUAAUUAUUACUACAACACAAAUACAAAUAUUUAAUACAAAUAAAUCCUAAUGCCCUUAUGCUCUGUCCAGAAAAGCCCUUCAACACUGAUGCUGUGGGUGGAAUUAAAUAAUCUCACCUAUGUUGCUGAUAAUAACUGCGAACACACUACACUUUAUAUUUAUAUGCACAUACACUUAUUUAUCUAACACACAUACUUAGUAUACACUUAAAUUUUGCACAUAAUACACAUGUACAUACAAAACUGCAUUUUGUAAUAUACCUGCCUACAAUUGUCAAUUUGUAUAUUGUCAUUCACUAUCUACUUAUUUGUAUUUUUUUAUUCUUUUAUUAUGUGUUUUAUGUUCUGUCGCUGUCAUUCUGUUGUACUGUGGAGCUUCUGUCACAAAAACAAAUUCCUCGUAUGUGUAAACAUACCUGGCAAUAAAGCUCAUUCUGAUUCUGA
Molecule: long non-coding RNA, 5355 nt
Organism: Carassius gibelio (silver crucian carp)
Lineage: Eukaryota; Metazoa; Chordata; Actinopteri; Cypriniformes; Cyprinidae
Exons: 3
Source: RefSeq, a predicted model, not a curated record